ACGCUCGACACCUACGAGAGGCAGCAGUGGGGAAUAUUGCACAAUGGGGGAAACCCUGAUGCAGCGACGCCGCGUCCGAGCGAAGAAGUAUUUCGGUAUGUAAAGCUCUAUCAGCAGGGAAGAAGAAAGACGGUACCUGACUAAGAAGCCCCGGCUAACUACGUGCCAACNGCCGCGGUAAUCUGAGCGGCUGGCGAAGGC
This 201-nucleotide ribosomal RNA is filed under the name uncultured bacterium. Its description in RNAcentral is "partial 16S ribosomal RNA". It matches the Rfam family "Bacterial small subunit ribosomal RNA", at positions 328 to 540 of the family's 1533-position model. The record is from RNAcentral.